AACGUAGGAGACGAGCGUUAUCCGGAUUUACUGGGCGUAAAGCGUGCGCAGGCGGUUAUGCAAGACAGAUGUGAAAUCCCCGGGCUCAACCUGGGAACUGCAUUUGUGACUGCAUGGCUAGAGUACGGUAGAGGGGGAUGGAAUUCCGCGUGUAGCAGUGAAAUGCGUAGAUAUCAGGAGGAAUACCGAUGGCGAAGGCAGGUCUCUGGGCUGACACUGACGCUCAUGCACGAAAGCGUGGGGAGCAAACAGG
This 253-nucleotide ribosomal RNA is filed under the name uncultured bacterium. RNAcentral's name for it is "partial 16S ribosomal RNA". It matches the Rfam family "Bacterial small subunit ribosomal RNA", at positions 524 to 776 of the family's 1533-position model. The record is from RNAcentral.